Molecule: ribosomal RNA, 496 nt
Filed under: uncultured bacterium
Lineage: Bacteria
Description: partial 16S ribosomal RNA
Rfam family: Bacterial small subunit ribosomal RNA
Source: RNAcentral
AUUGAACGCUGGCGGCAUGCUUUGCACAUGCAAGUCGAACGGUAGAGGGGGCAACCCCUCGAGAGUGGCGAACGGGUGAGUAAUAUAUCGGAACGUGCCCAGUCGAGGGGGAUAACGUAGCGAAAAUUACGCUAAUAACGCAUAAGAUCUAUGGAUGAAAGCGGGAGAUAGGAAGACCUCGCGCCAUUGGAGCGGCCGAGAUCAGAUUAGGUAGUUGGCGGGGUAAAGGCCCACCAAGCCAACGAUCUGUAGCUGGUCUGAGAGGACGACCAGCCACACUGGAACUGAGACACGGUCCAGACUCCUACGGGAGGCAGCAGUGGGGAAUAUUGGACAAUGGGCGAAAGCCUGAUCCAGCCAUUCCGCGUGCAGGAUGAAGGCCCUCGGGUUGUAAACUGCUUUUGUACAGAACGAAAAGGUUUCUACUAAUACUAGGAGCUCAUGACGGUACUGUAAGAAUAAGCACCGGCUAACUACGUGCCAGCAGCCGCCGUAA